This 467-nucleotide ribosomal RNA is filed under the name uncultured bacterium. RNAcentral describes it as "partial 16S ribosomal RNA". It matches the Rfam family "Bacterial small subunit ribosomal RNA", at positions 28 to 507 of the family's 1533-position model. The record is from RNAcentral.
GACGAACGCUGGCGGCGUGCUUAACACAUGCAAGUCGAACGGAAAGGCCUCUUUCGGGGGGUACUCGAGUGGCGAACGGGUGAGUAAUACGUGAGUACCUUGCCCUUGAUUUUGGGAUAACCUCGGGAAACCGGGGUAAUUCCCGGUAAGGAGUUCCUGUUGCAUGGUGGGGGCGGGAAGCUUCGGGCGGUUGGGGCUGGCCUUGCGGGUUAUCCGCUUGUGUGUGGGGUAGUGGUUUCCCAAGGCGUUGACGGGUAGCCGGCCUGAGAGGGUGAGCGGCGACAUUGAGACUGAGGGGCGGCAGAGACUCGGACGGGAGGCAGCAGGGGGGAAUAUUGCACAAUGGGUGGAGGCCGGAGGCAGCAGCGCCGUGGGCGGGAUGACGGCCUUCGGGGUGUAGACCGCUUUCGCUCAUAACGAAGGUGUGUAUGACGGUAGUGGAUAAAGAAGCACCGGCUAACUACGUG